RNAcentral lists this ribosomal RNA (237 nucleotides) under uncultured bacterium. RNAcentral's name for it is "partial 16S ribosomal RNA". It matches the Rfam family "Bacterial small subunit ribosomal RNA", at positions 540 to 776 of the family's 1533-position model. The record is from RNAcentral.
GUUGUCCGGAAUCACUGGGCGUAAAGCGCGUGUAGGCGGCUCGAUAAGUCUGCUGUGAAAGUUCAGGGCUCAACCCUGAAAUGCCGGUGGAAACUGUCGAGCUAGAGUCCGGAAGAGGCGAGUGGAAUUCCUGGUGUAGCGGUGAAAUGCGCAGAUAUCAGGAGGAACACCAAUGGCGAAGGCAGCUCGCUGGGACGGUACUGACGCUGAGACGCGAAAGCGUGGGGAGCAAACAGG